UUAGUGUAAAAAUUAUUAAUAAUGAUAAUAAUUUUAAAUAGUCCUGUCAAAAUUUGGUGCCAGCAGAAGCGGUUAAACCAAGUGGACAAUCCAUCAGAGUUUUGAUUAGGUAUAAAGGGUACGUAGCUUGAUAAAAUAUAUCUAGAGUCAAAUAGAGGUAAAUUUAAUAUCUAGAGAAGGGGUUACAUCCUAUAAUACUAGAGGGAGAGCUAAAGGCGAAAGCAAUUUACCAAGUAAUGACUGACAGUAAGGUACGAAAGCUAAGGCAUGAAUAGGAAUUAGAUACUCCAGUACUCUUAGCUGUAAACGAUGCAAAUUAGGGAUUUAGAACGAGUCUUUAUGUAAAUACGAUAAAUUUGCCACCUGUAUAGUAUAGUCCCAUGACUGAAAUACAAAUAAUUAGACGGUUUGUGAGCAAACGGAGUGGAGCAUGUUAUUUAAUUCGAUAACCCGCGAAAAAUCUUACCACAUCUUGCAUAAUUUUAUUAUAAUUAUAAUAAUUUUACAGGUGUUGCAUGGCUGUCCUAAGCUAGUGUUGUGAAAUGUUAGGUUAAUUCCGUAUAACUAGCGCAAUCCUUGCUAUGAUUAUAAA
RNAcentral lists this ribosomal RNA (592 nucleotides) under Tremella mesenterica. Its description in RNAcentral is "SSU rRNA". It matches the Rfam family "Bacterial small subunit ribosomal RNA", at positions 434 to 1121 of the family's 1533-position model. Lineage: Eukaryota; Fungi; Basidiomycota; Tremellomycetes; Tremellales; Tremellaceae. The record is from RNAcentral.